Long non-coding RNA from Carcharodon carcharias (great white shark), 853 nucleotides. RefSeq lists it as uncharacterized. The transcript is spliced from 6 exons. The record is from RefSeq and is a predicted model, not a curated record. Lineage: Eukaryota; Metazoa; Chordata; Chondrichthyes; Lamniformes; Lamnidae.
GGGCAGCUGGUUAGAACCGGUUCCCGGGUCGCGGGCAGUCGUAGAGAAGCAUCGCCAAGCAGAUACGCAGCUCAGGAUUGCAGCCUGACAUACAGCUCGGCUCCACCCGUUUAACCGACAGCCAAUAUGCCCCGCAAGCCGGUUGUGGCUCCAAAACCUGAAGAACUAAGGAGGUCAUCACGAACCAAGCAUUCUGUCCAACCUGCAGCUCCAACCAAGAAGGCACCAGCCAAGAAAGCCAAGAAGCCAAAGGUCACCAAAGGGAAAGCGAGUGAUUCAAACCAGGAUCCUAAUGCUGCUCCAGCCCAAAAUGGGGAAAAUAAAGAGGCAUGAGAAUUGAAAUCUGAUGGGCGAAAGUCUUGUCCAAGUCUGGAGAGUUUGCCAAUCUCCUGUCACUUGUACAAUUGAAAGGAAUAUUUUUAUCAAUUUUUAUAAAUGCAACAUUUUUGUAGGUUGAGUGGGCAGAUGUUGCGAAUUCUUGCAGUGUGUUUUUAUUUUCUGUAGACUUUGUAUACUGACAUGAUGCAUGCUGAAACUGCUUGACAUUAAACUGUUGUAUGCUCCCUCCCUAAACCCCAAAAUUUGACCAUUUUCUAUCUGUACUGUCAGUUGAAGCUGUAUUUGUAAUGUUGGUAGCUGUUAGUGGCAUAUUUUGCUCUCCAUGUGAAAUUAUCAUUCUUGCUUGACAAUUUGACAAUGAAAAAUGUAACUUUUUUUAAAAUUACUGUUUUAAAGUGAAUAUUCUUUGGAAUAUGUUUUGACUCAGUUUUCUGAAUUCAAUCAUAUUUUGCUGAGUAUCAUGGAGUUUUAAAUUUGCUACUUAAAUAAAGUUGGAUACUGUUAUGCUUGGGAA